GGAAAGGACAAAUACUUCAUGCCAGACUUCGGAUGGAUUGUAGCAAUCUGAACGAACAUUUAUUUAAGAGAAAUCUUGUAGAAAGUAAAAACUGUACCUGUGGUAGAAUCGAGAGCAGUAAGCAUUUUCUCCUCGAGUGUAAUAAUUACUCCCUUGUCCGAAAACGUACGAUAGAAAAAAUUCCCUUCCCAUACAAUAUAGAAACACUCCUAUUUGGCUGCAAUAACCUCAAUCAAGAGGAAAAUGUACUCGUGUUUAAACAAGUGCAACAAUUUUUGGUAGAUUCGAAGCGUUUUGGCUAAUAGCGUCGUUCGUGCAUGACAAAGAUCGUAAUUGGGUGAGACAGUCUUGACAAAGUCCUGUAAACACACUCCGCCGCCGG
This 382-nucleotide long non-coding RNA is filed under the name Mytilus galloprovincialis (Mediterranean mussel). Lineage: Eukaryota; Metazoa; Mollusca; Bivalvia; Mytilida; Mytilidae. The record is from RNAcentral.